Molecule: long non-coding RNA, 238 nt
Filed under: Rhinolophus ferrumequinum (greater horseshoe bat)
Lineage: Eukaryota; Metazoa; Chordata; Mammalia; Chiroptera; Rhinolophidae
Description: lncRNA (ENSRFEG00010005906.1)
Source: RNAcentral
CGCGCAGUCCGCGCCGGCCUGACGCUAGAGCCCUUUCCCGGUGGCCGGCCUUCUUUACCUGUGUGGUCUCCACGUCUGCGCCACCACGGGACGAGAGGUCAACGGAGGGCCCUGCGGUCCAGAUGCCAACUGGACCCACGGAGGCAUGGUGGCUAGAGCCAGGACCCCAGCCUAAGUGACACGGACAGGAUCUGAUGCUCCCGAGACCACAAGAUCCGGCACCGAAAUGUGAAAUCGA